Molecule: ribosomal RNA, 541 nt
Filed under: uncultured archaeon
Lineage: Archaea
Description: bacterial SSU rRNA
Rfam family: Archaeal small subunit ribosomal RNA
Source: RNAcentral
CAGCCGCCGCGGUAAUACCGGCGGCUCGAGUGGUGGCCACUUUUAUUGGGCUUAAAGCGUUCGUAGCUGGGUCGGUAAGUCUCUUGGGAAAUCUGGCAGCUUAACUGUCAGGCGUCUAAGAGAUACUGCUGAUCUUGGAACCGGGAGAGGUGAGGGGUACUUCGGGGGUAGGAGUGAAAUCCUGUAAUCCUCGAGGGACCACCUGUGGCGAAGGCGCCUCACCAGAACGGCUUCGACAGUGAGGGACGAAAGCUGGGGGAGCAAACCGGAUUAGAUACCCGGGUAGUCCCAGCCGUAAACGAUGUGCGUUAGGUGUAUCAGUGACCACGAGUCACUGAGGUGCCGAAGGGAAACCGUGAAACGUACCGCCUGGGAAGUACGGUCGCAAGGCUGAAACUUAAAGGAAUUGGCGGGGGAGCACCACAACAGGUGGAGCCUGCGGUUUAAUUGGACUCAACGCCGGGAAGCUCACCGGAUAAGACAGCGGAAUGAUUGCCGGGCUGAAGACUCUGCAUGACUAGCUGAGAGGAGGUGCAUGGCC